Molecule: ribosomal RNA, 253 nt
Filed under: uncultured bacterium
Lineage: Bacteria
Description: partial 16S ribosomal RNA
Rfam family: Bacterial small subunit ribosomal RNA
Source: RNAcentral
UACGUAGGGGGCAAGCGUUGUCCGGAAUCAUUGGGCGUAAAGAGCGUGUAGGCGGCCCGAUAAGUCCGCUGUGAAAGUCCAGGGCUCAACCCUGGAAAGCCGGUGGAUACUGUCGGGCUAGAGUCCGGAAGAGGCGAGUGGAAUUCCUGGUGUAGCGGUGGAAUGCGCAGAUAUCAGGAGGAACACCGAUGGCGAAGGCAGCUCGCUGGGACGGUACUGACGCUGAGGCGCGAAAGCGUGGGGAGCGAACAGG